Molecule: long non-coding RNA, 3331 nt
Organism: Scylla paramamosain (green mud crab)
Lineage: Eukaryota; Metazoa; Arthropoda; Malacostraca; Decapoda; Portunidae
Exons: 6
Source: RefSeq, a predicted model, not a curated record
AAAUAACAACGGCGAUAGCCACAACAUCGACAAUAACAAUAGAACCCGCAUAUUUAUAUUACCCCAACACUGCUGUAACACUUACACCACUAUUAUUACACUACGUACAACCUGGUCCUCACAGUACACUAUAACUACCAUAAAUAACCACAACCACAACCACCACAGCUGCCAGGGUCACUGCACAACAUAGGUCCUUAUUCAGAAACGCCUUGCUCUCCCACCACAACUAUUUUCCAAAUCAACAGAUAAUAAGCCUCGUUCUCAAAACUGUUUCUGCUGUUAAUCGGUUACUAGAACUAUAAAAAUCUGCAUAACUUCAACUAGAGUCUUUUGAAACUAGAGAAAGUGCAGCCCAGAACUGUUUCAGAAUAGCUCUAACAGUGAAUUUACACGCUCACUUUACGUUCACAACACGCCACGCCGGUACGCGCCCACUACUGCACGCCACCACCUCACACGGGACAAGCUCGGGGCCACUGGGAGGGAGCGCUGGAGCCGUGACAUGGGCGGUAGGAGGAAGAGGGAAAGAAGAGAUGGGUGCGCGCGCCUGGCAACCCCUCUUACCUGCUGUCUCUGCCAGGUCCUUAGAUCGAAUGUGCCGGGAAGCGUCGCUUACCGUUUCUAUCUAUGUGUGUGCAUGUGUGUGCGUUUAGAUAAUGGUACACGCGCAAGUCUGUUCAAGUGAGUGUAUACUUGCCAUAUUUUGCUGAGAAUGUAACUGGACAUCGCCGCUUUUCUGCUCCCCUAAAGAGGUGUGCAGCGGAUGGCGUGCCAGCACGUGUGACCCUAAGAGUGACCUCAGUCCUCACCAUGGCCACCCAGUACUCGCAGUCCACCAAGAAUUUGCCAUCAGGCAUUGUGUGUGGACUGGCAAUCUACAACUUCACCAUCACCAACCUGCCCUUCCCAAUUGCACUGUACAAGAAGUUACUGUGAGAGACUGUAGGCUUGGAUGACCUCACUGACCUUGACCCGCAGCUGACCAGGUCACUGCGAGAUCUGCUGGAGUACGAGGGAGGUGACGAGGAGGAAGUUUAUGGCCUCGACUUCACUUUGACCCAGGAUUACUUUGGGGAGUGCAAGAGUGUCCCCCUGAAGGCUGGAGGGAAGGAGAUGUCAGUCACACAGCAGAACAAUGUUGCCACGGUGACGGUGGUGGUGGGCAUGAUACAGAUGCGGGAGCUGGAGUUUGUGCCCGAUGGAGACAUGCAGCUGGACAAAUUCUGUUGCUCAUUGCUCAGACUGGAGUUUACAUGUAUACCUCCUUCACCAUCAUUGCUGGACACUUCACCAUGAGUGAUGCUUGAGCUGUCAUGGUGCUGCUGCUGUUGUCUGCCAUCAUCCCCCUGACACAGACCACCCUGCAGACCAUCUUCAUCCUGGGUGUCACACAUCGCUGCUGCUACAGCUCAGAGCAACUGGAGCGCAAGCCAGGAAGGGAGAUGGUAACUUCUCACUUAAUUUGUUGUUUAUUUGAGGGCCUAAUGACAAAGACAUAAUGGAAUAAGUAUAUGUGAAUGUUUGUUUAUAUCUAGAUACAGCAUUCACAUAUCUUUUAAGUGCCACCUUCCAAAAGCAAUGUCAGCCAGAAAAAUAACUGAUGAGAAUCUAAUUACAUUUCAAGUCAAAAAGUUUUCCUUUAACCACUUUGCUCCAGAUGCUUAAAAACAUGCGUUGCUCACAUACAUGGUGUCGCGUAGGCUCGUGAGUGGUAACUUAUCUAAUUUCUAAUAAUUUCUAAUAUAAUUUGUUUGUUUUUUUUGUUGUUUUUUUUUAUGUAGGAAGGACACUGGCCAAGGGCAACAAAAAUCACAAACAGGAAGUUUAUGCAAGUUUUUAUCCUUAUAUAAAAUGUUGCUAGUGUUAACAUAUAAAAUUGUAUUGCAUCAAACCUCCAUACAUUACUGUCUCUAUCCAGUAUGAGACUGGUGUUCAGGAAGCACAAGCAUGUGCUGAAUAACAAGAAGCCGGCAUUGGUGAAGGUGACAACAUUUCAUCUAUUUAUACAUACUUUUUAUUAUUAAAGCUUAUCUUAUAAUUAUUUCUGAAGAGAUUGACUAAUUUUUGUAGUAUUUAUGACUUAGAACUAUGAUAAAGCUAUGAAUUGAUAUAAUUCCUGAUUUGUUUUAUCUUUUCAUUAUCCUUCCUUUGUUAAUUGAGCAUUUUAUAUUACUUAGCUUAAAAAUACAAGAACGGUUCAGAAGUAUCCAACCUUGGGCUAAGGGCCAAAAUUAUGGUAUCAUUCAAAAUGUCCUUCAAAGAAAGCCCUUUGUAAUCCAACACACUAAGCCCAUUAAUCCUUCCAUUUCUCAUCAAUUUGUUCAACAUUCAUAUUUUUCCCUUAUAGGGUUGAACAAUUUUCAUGGGUUCAGAGCAAAAGGCUUCCUCAUUCCUCCCCAAGGUAUUCUCGGAUGGUAAGCAGGUUUGACUCUGGAGCAAACCUGACCAAGGGCUACUGCCCAAGGCUACAGAGGUUCCUCUCCCUGAGGCUGAAUGCACCAUGUGAGAUGGUUCUGUUAUGUGGAUGAAUGUCAUGGUGGAUAGCAGUGCCACCACAUUCCUACAAUCAUCUAUCACUCCACUGCUCAAAUGCUUCUGCAACCAAUGAUAGGUAUGCUGCCACAUUCUGCAUGGUCUCCUUGGCUCUCAGAUAAGGAUACUGUCAACAGGUUUGGGAUUGCCAAAAAAUCAUAAGGAGCUAUGUCUGAAAAGUCCAGAGAGAGAGAGAGAGAGAGAGAGAGAGAGAGAAAGAAUGAGCAAGAGAAAGAGUAGGAUGAAGCAAAGGAAGAGUCAAGAGGGAGGAAGAGAGAGUAGGACAAGAAAAAACAGAACAAAUAAAUCCCCUACACGUCUUGUCUCCAUUCACACAAGCCAUGAAAAGCUUGUCCAUCCCUGAGUGCUCAGAAGCAGUGCUCCACUGAUGAUGUGGAAACUUGAGACACCCAAUCAUUUAAUGGGCUUUAGUAGGUUUUGUCACCAGUCUUCUGUGUGUCACUGACUACAUUUUGAAAUUUUUAUCUGUUCUAUUUAAUUUUGUGUGUAUGUACACAAUGUUUAUGGUCAAUAAACUAUUUAUAAAACUAUUUAUCUGUGUGAGUAAGAUAAAAGCAGUUAUUGUUAUUAUUAUUAUUAUUAUUAUUAUUAUUAUUAUUAUUAUUAUUAUUAUUAUCAUUAUUAUUAUUAUUAUUAUUAUUAUUACACAUUUUCCUCCUUGUAUUUAAAUAUUAUUAUUAUUAUUAUUAUUAUUAUUAUUAUUAUUAUUAUUAUUAUUAUUAUUAUUAUUAUUAUCAUGAAUUGUUCUUGUUUAUAAAUAAAAUACUGUAACUGA